CAGCAGCCACGGGAAUACAGAGGGUGCGAGCGUUAAUCGGAUUUACUGGGCGUAAAGCGUUCGUAGGCGGCUUCUUAAGUCGGAUGUUAAAUCCCUGAGCUUAACUUAGGAAUUGCAUUCGAUACUGGGAAGCUAGAGUAUGGGAGAGGAUGGUAGAAUUCCAGGUGUAGCGGUGAAAUUCGUAGAGAUCUGGAGGAAUACCGAUGGCGAAGGCAGCCAUCUGGCCUAAUACUGACGCUGAGGUACGAAAGCAUGGGGAGCAAACAGGAUUAGAUACCCCAGUAGUCCCUGUCUCUUAUAA
Molecule: ribosomal RNA, 301 nt
Filed under: uncultured bacterium
Lineage: Bacteria
Description: partial 16S ribosomal RNA
Rfam family: Bacterial small subunit ribosomal RNA
Source: RNAcentral